Small nucleolar RNA from Panicum hallii, 107 nucleotides. Lineage: Eukaryota; Viridiplantae; Streptophyta; Magnoliopsida; Poales; Poaceae. The record is from RefSeq and is a predicted model, not a curated record.
GUCCUAUGGCGAGGACAUGCUAGGAUGAACUGCUGAAGCCUCUCCCAUGCUUUAGAAAUUGACUAAUUAGGCGUCUGCUGGAAAUGAGAGAUUCUUCCUCAAAGAGC